RNAcentral lists this ribosomal RNA (2224 nucleotides) under Salmonella enterica. RNAcentral describes it as "partial 23S ribosomal RNA". It matches the Rfam family "Bacterial large subunit ribosomal RNA", at positions 711 to 2827 of the family's 2925-position model. Lineage: Bacteria; Pseudomonadati; Pseudomonadota; Gammaproteobacteria; Enterobacterales; Enterobacteriaceae. The record is from RNAcentral.
AGACCCGAAACCCGGUGAUCUAGCCAUGGGCAGGUUGAAGGUUGGGUAACACUAACUGGAGGACCGAACCGACUAAUGUUGAAAAAUUAGCGGAUGACCUGUGGCUGGGGGUGAAAGGCCAAUCAAACCGGGAGAUAGCUGGUUCUCCCCGAAAGCUAUUUAGGUAGCGCCUCGUGAAUUCAUCUCCGGGGGUAGAGCACUGUUUCGGCUAGGGGGCCAUCCCGGCUUACCAACCCGAUGCAAACUGCGAAUACCGGAGAAUGUUAUCACGGGAGACACACGGCGGGUGCUAACGUCCGUCGUGAAGAGGGAAACAACCCAGACCGCCAGCUAAGGUCCCAAAGUCAUGGUUAAGUGGGAAACGAUGUGGGAAGGCCCAGACAGCCAGGAUGUUGGCUUAGAAGCAGCCAUCAUUUAAAGAAAGCGUAAUAGCUCACUGGUCGAGUCGGCCUGCGCGGAAGAUGUAACGGGGCUAAACCAUGCACCGAAGCUGCGGCAGCGAACGUAUCACCCAAGACAACUUUACGGAGUUGACGAUUGACGGAGCGAAGCGACGUCAAAGCGUUCAUUAAAGUCGAGUUGGCUUAGGGAUACGUUCGUUGGGUAGGGGAGCGUUCUGUAAGCCUGUGAAGGUGUGUCGUGAGGCAUGCUGGAGGUAUCAGAAGUGCGAAUGCUGACAUAAGUAACGAUAAAGCGGGUGAAAAGCCCGCUCGCCGGAAGACCAAGGGUUCCUGUCCAACGUUAAUCGGGGCAGGGUGAGUCGACCCCUAAGGCGAGGCCGAAAGGCGUAGUCGAUGGGAAACGGGUUAAUAUUCCCGUACUUGGUGUUACUGCGAAGGGGGGACGGAGAAGGCUAUGUUGGCCGGGCGACGGUUGUCCCGGUUUAAGCGUGUAGGUGUGUGUUCCAGGUAAAUCCGGUUCACUUUAACACUGAGGCGUGACGACGAGGCACUACGGUGCUGAAGCAACAAAUGCCCUGCUUCCAGGAAAAGCCUCUAAGCAUCAGGUAACAUCAAAUCGUACCCCAAACCGACACAGGUGGUCAGGUAGAGAAUACCAAGGCGCUUGAGAGAACUCGGGUGAAGGAACUAGGCAAAAUGGUGCCGUAACUUCGGGAGAAGGCACGCUGACACGUAGGUGAAGUGAUUUACUCAUGGAGCUGAAGUCAGUCGAAGAUACCAGCUGGCUGCAACUGUUUAUUAAAAACACAGCACUGUGCAAACACGAAAGUGGACGUAUACGGUGUGACGCCUGCCCGGUGCCGGAAGGUUAAUUGAUGGGGUCAGCGCAAGCGAAGCUCCUGAUCGAAGCCCCGGUAAACGGCGGCCGUAACUAUAACGGUCCUAAGGUAGCGAAAUUCCUUGUCGGGUAAGUUCCGACCUGCACGAAUGGCGUAAUGAUGGCCAGGCUGUCUCCACCCGAGACUCAGUGAAAUUGAACUCGCUGUGAAGAUGCAGUGUACCCGCGGCAAGACGGAAAGACCCCGUGAACCUUUACUAUAGCUUGACACUGAACAUUGAGCCUUGAUGUGUAGGAUAGGUGGGAGGCUUUGAAGUGUGGACGCCAGUCUGCAUGGAGCCGACCUUGAAAUACCACCCUUUAAUGUUUGAUGUUCUAACGUGGACCCGUAAUCCGGGUUGCGGACAGUGUCUGGUGGGUAGUUUGACUGGGGCGGUCUCCUCCUAAAGAGUAACGGAGGAGCACGAAGGUUGGCUAAUCCUGGUCGGACAUCAGGAGGUUAGUGCAAUGGCAUAAGCCAGCUUGACUGCGAGCGUGACGGCGCGAGCAGGUGCGAAAGCAGGUCAUAGUGAUCCGGUGGUUCUGAAUGGAAGGGCCAUCGCUCAACGGAUAAAAGGUACUCCGGGGAUAACAGGCUGAUACCGCCCAAGAGUUCAUAUCGACGGCGGUGUUUGGCACCUCGAUGUCGGCUCAUCACAUCCUGGGGCUGAAGUAGGUCCCAAGGGUAUGGCUGUUCGCCAUUUAAAGUGGUACGCGAGCUGGGUUUAGAACGUCGUGAGACAGUUCGGUCCCUAUCUGCCGUGGGCGCUGGAGAACUGAGGGGGGCUGCUCCUAGUACGAGAGGACCGGAGUGGACGCAUCACUGGUGUUCGGGUUGUCAUGCCAAUGGCACUGCCCGGUAGCUAAAUGCGGAAGAGAUAAGUGCUGAAAGCAUCUAAGCACGAAACUUGCCCCGAGAUGAGUUCUCCCUGAGACUUAGAGUCUC